This 1312-nucleotide ribosomal RNA is filed under the name metagenome. Its description in RNAcentral is "bacterial SSU rRNA". It matches the Rfam family "Bacterial small subunit ribosomal RNA", at positions 196 to 1498 of the family's 1533-position model. The record is from RNAcentral.
GCAGGGGAUCGCAAGACCUUGCGCUGAUUGAGCGGCCGAUAUCAGAUUAGCUAGUUGGUGAGGUAAAGGCUCACCAAGGCGAGGAUCUGUAGCGGGUCUGAGAGGAUGAUCCGCCACACUGGAACUGAGACACGGUCCAGACUCCUACGGGAGGCAGCAGUGGGGAAUUUUGGACAAUGGGGGCAGCCCUGAUCCAGCCAUGCCGCGUGAGUGAAGAAGGCCUUCGGGUUGUAAAGCUCUUUCGGCCGGGAAAGAAUCGCAUAGGUUAAUACCCUGUGUGGAUGAUGGUACCGGAAUAAGAAGCACCGGCUAACUACGUGCCAGCAGCCGCGGUAAUACGUAGGGUGCGAGCGUUAAUCGGAAUUACUGGGCGUAAAGCGUGCGCAGGCGGUUUGAUAAGACAGGCGUGAAAUCCCCGGGCUCAACCUGGGAACUGCGUUUGUGACUGUCUCACUAGAGUACGGCAGAGGGGGGUGGAAUUCCACGUGUAGCAGUGAAAUGCGUAGAGAUGUGGAGGAACACCAAUGGCGAAGGCAGCCCCCUGGGUCGAUACUGACGCUCAUGCACGAAAGCGUGGGUAGCAAACAGGAUUAGAUACCCUGGUAGUCCACGCCCUAAGCGAUGUCAACUAGGUGUUGGGAGGGUAAAACCUUUUAGUACCGUAGCUAACGCGAGAAGUUGACCGCCUGGGGAGUACGGCCGCAAGGUUAAAACUCAAAGGAAUUGACGGGGACCCGCACAAGCGGUGGAUGAUGUGGAUUAAUUCGAUGCAACGCGAAAAACCUUACCUACCCUUGACAUGUUCAGGAGUCCGAAGAGAUUUGGAUGUGCUCGAAAGAGAACUGGAACACAGGUGCUGCAUGGCUGUCGUCAGCUCGUGUCGUGAGAUGUUGGGUUAAGUCCCGCAACGAGCGCAACCCUUGUCGUUAAUUGCCAUCAUUUAGUUGGGCACUUUAACGAGACUGCCGGUGACAAACCGGAGGAAGGUGGGGAUGACGUCAAGUCCUCAUGGCCCUUAUGGGUAGGGCUUCACACGUCAUACAAUGGUCGGUACAAAGGGUUGCCAACCCGCGAGGGGGAGCUAAUCCCAUAAAGCCGAUCGUAGUCCGGAUCGCAGGCAGCAACUCGCCUGCGUGAAGUCGGAAUCGCUAGUAAUCGUGGAUCAGCAUGUCACGGUGAAUACGUUCCCGGGUCUUGUUCACACCGCCCGUCACACCAUGGGAGCGGGUUCCGCCAGAAGUAGGUAGCCUAACCGCAAGGAGGGCGCUUACCACGGCGGGGUUCGUGACUGGGGUGAAGUCGGAACAAGGUA